GAGGAAUAUUGGUCAAUGGACGCAAGUCUGAACCAGCCACGUCGCGUGAAGGAAGACGGCCCUACGGGUUGUAAACUUCUUUUGUAAGGGAAUAAAGUGAGCCACGUGUGGCUUUUUGCAUGUACCUUACGAAUAAGGAUCGGCUAACUCCGUGCCAGCAGCCGCGGUAAUACGGAGGAUCCGAGCGUUAUCCGGAUUUAUUGGGUUUAAGGGGUGCGCAGGCGGGAGAUUAAGUCGGCGGUGAAAUUUUGCAGCUCAACUGUAAAAGUGCCUUCGAAACUGGUUUCCUUGAGUGUAGAUGAAGUAGGCGGAAUUUGUGGUGUAGCGGUGAAAUGCACAGAUAUCACGAGGAACUCCGAUUGCGCAGGCAGCUUACUAAACUACUACUGACGCUCAGGCACGAAGGCGUGGGGAUCAAAC
Molecule: ribosomal RNA, 420 nt
Filed under: uncultured bacterium
Lineage: Bacteria
Description: bacterial SSU rRNA
Rfam family: Bacterial small subunit ribosomal RNA
Source: RNAcentral